AUGGACGUUGUUUUGCGAUGUUUAGUUCAAGUAAGUUUUUACCGGUUCGUUAGUUAGGAGGCAUCAUCGUUUGAAAUUCAGAUUUGUUAAAAAUACUAUAAAACACUGUUUACAAUGACAACUCGACGGGAUUCGCGAUAAUAAACCGAUUUAUAAUUGGUGAACUAAAUAUAAACCGAAGUGAUAUUGUUAUCCUUUGCGGUUACCGGGGUAACCGAUCAACAUAACAUGACUGCAGGUCAUCGGAACACAUUCUACUGUGUUUUUCUUCUGUUUUCCCAUUCAUACGCUCGCUGAGCCAAGUUUUGUGGGUUGUUGAUGUUUCAUAUAGUCCCGGCUUGUGGAAUAGAACACACCGCUGUGAUUAGUUAUUCGAAAUCGUCGAUAGUGCUUGUUCAUCUUCUGACAAAAGUUGCGCAAAAGUACACAGUAAUGUAUGACUUGCAAGGCAGGUGAAGAGAUUGUGUAAAAUCUGCUGUAAUUGGUAACAAAAUGGUUGAAAAUAUUAAUGGAGUAAUCGAAUUAAUCGAAUAAUAAUGUACUAGUUAUUUAAUUAGUCAAUGAUGCUCUUCAACAUUUAAACUAAAGUUAACUAACAUCAAAUUAUAACAGCUGCAUUUGUUCAUCUUAAGUGUUCGUUUGGUUGUCACAAAUGUGAAUAAGUUGUUGAUAUUUUUUCGCCUUUUCCAAUAAGAAUUGUGUAAAUGUAACUAUCUACGAUGUAUGAAAAUCAGAACAUGAAGUAAUAACGAGGUCAAAAAACGUUACUCCAUUCAGGACACGCGUCAAUUUGAAAACGAACAUAAAAACUGAUGGCGAAUACAGUGUGAUAUAGUGAAAAUUGAGUGAGGACGACAUAAGCGCUGAACGCAGUACAAGGGAAAAUGUAAAUAUUGAAUCGAGUAUGCGAUAUAGUGAACAACUCUCAAGUCGACCAGCUUUCGCAUCAUUUAGUCCGCUGUUGCAACGACGAUUGAGGAGCUGGGAGCUCUUCUUGCAACAAUUCAAGACAGACCAUUGAUGAAUAUUAAUGAGUCCUGCGGGUCGGUGAAUGAUGUUGUAUAUUGAACUUUCAGCGAAAGAAAGGAUACUUGAUGUCGGCUUCCCGACCAGCCAUAGUGGUUGGAAAAUAUUAUUGCAUGUUGACAUGAAAUCUUUUGGGCUGCAAAAGUGUUUGUUUUUCAAAAGUGAAACAAAAACUUCUUCGUAAAUGACAGGAAAUAUGAGCUCCCUAUUGCAACGAAAACGUGAAACUGUUUGAAUUGGCGACAGUCAAUGAAGCUGGAGGACGACGCUAUGUGCAACGACCGCGUGUUGCAGUAGAAUACGGUAGGAACCAUGAAUCGAUACCUAACAUUGAGCCAGCUUGGAGACGGUACCUACGGUACGGUUGUCCUUGGUCAACGCAAAGACACCGGCGAGAAGGUCGCCAUCAAACGAAUGAAACGGAAGUACUACUCCUGGGAGGAAGCCAUGAAUCUCAGAGAGGUUAAGUCCCUGAAAAAACUUUCACAUGCCAACGUGGUCAAGCUGAAAGAGGUGAUACGGGAAAACGACGUCCUCUACUUUGUGUUCGAGUACAUGCAGGAGAACCUGUACCAGCUAAUCAAAGACCGCGAAACUCACUUCUCGGAAGCAACGAUAAGACUGAUUCUGCAGCAAAUCCUUACGGGGUUGGCAUUUAUGCACCGGCAUGGGUUCUUCCAUCGGGAUCUGAAACCGGAGAAUGUGCUCUGCUGCGGGCCGGAGUUAGUCAAAAUAGCCGAUUUCGGUUUGGCUCGCGAAAUCCGAUCCCGGCCUCCGUACACGGACUACGUGUCAACUCGUUGGUACCGUGCACCGGAAGUACUGCUCCAUUCUACCCGCUACGGAAGUGCCAUCGAUCUAUGGGCCGUAGGUUGCAUAGCUGCUGAGCUUUACACCUUUCGGCCGUUGUUUCCCGGAUCCAGCGAAGUAGAUCAGCUGUUCAAAAUAUGUUCUGUGCUCGGAACUCCGGAAAAGAGUGACUGGCCUGAAGGGCAUAAACUCGCCUCAACAAUACAGUUUCGUUUUCCGGAAUGUCCAAAAAUCGCUUUAGAGACUUUGAUAACUCGUGCGGGAACUUCUGCAAUUCAAUUGUUGGUAGAUUUUCUCCGUUGGGAUCCAGAAAAACGACCAACCGCUCAACAAUCACUAAAAUAUCCCUAUUUUGGUGCUAUGAAGCCGAAACAUUCAGUUGGCGCAUUAUCAAACGGAAAUAUUCAGUUACCAUCGAUGCAGCAAAACAAUAACGGUGUGCCUAACGCAAGGAUUUCAAUACUGGAUGCGUCUCAGUUGGACAAUAGUGAAUUCAAAAGUAGAUUUAGUUUAAAUCCAAACAAUAGCAGUAAUAUAUCUGUGAAUAACAAUAACAGCGCCAACACCAACGGAAGUGUUUAUAAAUCAUUGAGUAAUAGUGAUUUGAACGAUAUCAAUUCUCUCCUAAACUUGUCGCGAAUCUCCCAGAAUGUCCCGGUGGAAAAGCGAGUCUCUCUGGAUAGUGGUAGUGCUAAGAGCAAUACUAAAUUUCAGAGUACGAUCAAUUACAGUGUACUUAACGAAAUGUUGAACAGUUACAACAUCGGUCUAAACGAUAGUCUCGAUCGCGGUCGGUUGCACCGGAACAAUAGUAUUACGAAAUCGACUACUGAACAAAGUGAUAGUGGGGUGAACGAUAACGGUAGUUCCGUGGUUAGCUACUCAAUUAUGAAACCGACAGUGAUGGACAUUGGAAAAAAUCCUGCAAAUGUUUCUGUAGCACGUAAGGAAAAAGUGAAUGAAAUUUUUGUUACGAGAAAUGGAGAUAGUUUAAGUACUAAUAGUGCUAAUCGAGCAGUGGACAGUGAAGAUUCGAGCUACUUUAAUAAUGGGUUCUUUCUGCACAAACAAAACGAAAACGCAAAAAAAGUUGCCAAUGGAAGUUUAAGUGUGUUUAAGGAAAGUUUCCUAAACGACUCCAAGGCUUACAAUGCAUUUUCGAAGCAACCUGUGUUGUUAACUAGAAAAACGGAUGAAGAGAUUAAAGUGAAUAAGUCGAAGAGCUCCAUCAAUCGUGGAUUACAAAGCCAUUUCAGUCGUAGCUGGGAGCCUGUUAAAGGAAGUAGUUUUGAAGAUGAUCUUGAGGAUAUUUUGGGGUGUAGAAUUCAUACGAGAAAAAAAUCAAACACAGAAUUCAAAGUGGAGGACAUUUUUGGGACGGUUUCUUUUGCUAAGGAUUCCAAUGCAUCGAAGUAUCCCAAUACGGUUCCAUUCGCGAAAAGUGUGAUGAAGAAUGGCGAUACGAUGACCGACAUUUUUGAUAAUUCUGAUCAUGCGAAACCAUCACAUUCCAGUGCAAAUAUUGUUCCUAGAAGGAAGAAUCCGCAGGUGUUUGUGUCCAAUAACAACUUUGAAGCGAACAACGAGUUCAACGGUGUCAACGCUUCAUUCAAACUUUUCCCAUGGGAAGACGCUCCGAAGAAUGCACCGGAAAAGAAACAGUGGGCUCCGGACAGUGGAGUGCUGACCUAUGUCGGACCAAGCGGAGACGGUAAGGGACGACCGGAUUGGGCGGCAAAAUAUUUGGGAAAAUAAACCGAUUGCGGCCAAGAGCACGGGCGAAUCAAGCGUUGGACACUUUUGGUUUAAAUCACAGCAAGUCGAGUAGCAACUUUUGUCAUGAUGAACGUAGUUAAACAUAGUAUUUAUAUAUAUUUGUAUUAGCCUAGAAAAUCCUGAACAAUCUGUGAUAGAUCAGUGCAUAAAAAGUGCGGUUGAAUGUGUAUCAAUGUUUCAUCAAUGUAUGCAUAUUUUGCCAAUGAGGUCCGUUACACUAUCACAAACAUGAUCCAAAGUUGGUUAAUGAAAAAACUCUAGUACUUGGGCGCACUAUCCGAUCCAGAAACAAAGGUAAAUUAUUGGAUUGAUAUGGAGGCCAAUUAAUUUUGAGUGGCUGGUGACCGGUUUUCAACAAUUGGAAAAUGCCUUAGUUAAGCUGAAUAUUUCAGCUACAGCGUGGAUUGAAAAGAUAUAGAAAAAACUUUCGAGGGUGUACGAGUUCCCGAGCUGAAAGAGAAAGUUGAACACACCCAUCAAGGUUGACUGAACUUGAAUGCCUUCGUGGUUGGUGUUUCUCUGGUAAGAAAAUCUUCUCUGUAGCAGAUUACUUUUCGCGUGGUAAGUAUGAAAAGGUACUACGAUUCUUAGUAUCAUUCAUCAGAUAUCGCUACUAUCCGUAUUAAUUUAUGCUUCUUCUCCUAUACCCGCCAGGUCCAUCCUUCCAACGCGCUGCUCUAGUGCAUCACAUUACCACUGUCCAGGCCGCUCCAGUUCGCCAUACCAUCGUGAAGGAAAUUGAACAACGGGCUCCGGUAAAUUAUGAAUUUCCGUAUUCCGUCCAUGAUAAAAACACUGGUGAAUUCAAGAGCGAGCACGAAACCCGACACGAAGACGAAGCGCAUGGACAGUACAGUAGUAUUUCGAUUCCAUCAGCAAAUUCAUAAAAGUUUGCGUUAACUUCGAAAUUCAGCCAACGUGAAAACAUCAUCAGCUUAGCUUUACUGAGUCAAACACGGAUUCGGUAAAGGUGAAUGAUUGAAAAAUCGAUGGUGAAAAUUUGCGAAAAAUAUAUCUUUGAAGCUAAACUCGAACAUGCAAACUUUCGGCUUGCUCAUUUGAACCACUCUUUGAAAUAACCAUAUAGGGGAAAAUCGGAAGUCUUGGGCCAACUAUCAUCAAGUAUUAUUAUUGAGUUCAUAAUUGUUUCAAUUGAUAAAAUUA
Molecule: RNA transcript, 4776 nt
Organism: Malaya genurostris
Lineage: Eukaryota; Metazoa; Arthropoda; Insecta; Diptera; Culicidae
Exons: 9
Source: RefSeq, a predicted model, not a curated record